CAAUACGAGCGGCAGACGGGUGAGUAACGCGUGGGAAUCUACCCAUCUCUACGGAACAACUCCGGGAAACUGGAGCUAAUACCGUAUACGUCCUUUUGGAGAAAGAUUUAUCGGAGAUGGAUGAGCCCGCGUUGGAUUAGCUAGUUGGUGGGGUAAUGGCCUACCAAGGCGACGAUCCAUAGCUGGUCUGAGAGGAUGAUCAGCCACACUGGGACUGAGACACGGCCCAGACUCCUACGGGAGGCAGCAGCC
This 252-nucleotide ribosomal RNA is filed under the name uncultured Mesorhizobium sp. RNAcentral describes it as "partial 16S ribosomal RNA". It matches the Rfam family "Bacterial small subunit ribosomal RNA", at positions 87 to 355 of the family's 1533-position model. Lineage: Bacteria; Pseudomonadati; Pseudomonadota; Alphaproteobacteria; Hyphomicrobiales; Phyllobacteriaceae. The record is from RNAcentral.